UUUCGCAAUGCCCGAAAGGGUGACGAAGCGACGCCGCGUGGGUGAGGAAGGCCUUCGGGUUGUAAAGCCCUGUCAGGAGUUAAGAAAUGUAAGUGCGCUAAUAUCGCAUUAAUUUGACAAAGGCUCCAAAGGAAGCCACGGCUAACUCUGUGCCAGCAGCCGCGGUAAUACAGAGGUGGCAAGCGUUGUUCGGAAUUAUUGGGCGUAAAGAGCACGUAGGUGGGUUUGUAAGUCAGAUGUGAAAGCCUUCUGUUCAACGGAAGAAUUGCAUCUGAAACUACAAGUCUUGAGUGUAGGAGGGGAGAAUGGAACUUCUGGUGGAGCGGUGAAAUGCGUAGAUAUCAGAAGGAACGCCGGCGGCGAAAGCGAUUCUCUGGCCUAUUACUGACACUGAGUGUGCGAAAGUUAGGGGAGCAAACGGGAUUAGAUACCCCGGUAGUCCUAACUGUAAACGAUGGGCACUAAGUAGAGGGG
Molecule: ribosomal RNA, 474 nt
Filed under: uncultured bacterium
Lineage: Bacteria
Description: bacterial SSU rRNA
Rfam family: Bacterial small subunit ribosomal RNA
Source: RNAcentral